RNAcentral lists this transfer RNA (72 nucleotides) under Loxodonta africana (African savanna elephant). It matches the Rfam family "tRNA". From Rfam's summary of the family: Transfer RNA (tRNA) molecules are approximately 80 nucleotides in length. Their secondary structure includes four short double-helical elements and three loops (D, anti-codon, and T loops). The record is from Rfam by way of RNAcentral. Lineage: Eukaryota; Metazoa; Chordata; Mammalia; Proboscidea; Elephantidae.
GCAUUGGUGGUUCAGUGGUAGAAUUCUUGCUUUCCAUGAGGGAGACCCCAGGUUCAAUUCCCAGCCAGUGUA